This is a non-coding RNA of Vicia faba (fava bean), 236 nucleotides long. The record is from the annotation of a GenBank genome assembly. NCBI's taxonomy places the organism in Eukaryota, Viridiplantae, Streptophyta, Magnoliopsida, Fabales, Fabaceae.
UUACUGCAGUAACAAAUUCUCAUAAGAAAUCAACAAGUGCAAACAAAGUCAUGAAUACAAGCUCAAUAAACAGAAUUGUAACCAAAUCACAAAAUAUCACAGAAAAGGAGCUAUCAAGCAUACAAAAUCCUAACAGGUCAUCAUCAUCUUCCUACUCAAAGUCCCUUCAGAAUAAUGAGAAAGAGAAGAGGAAAAGAAACUUUCUGAAAAUUCAGAAUCAGAAAGAUAUUAUCUAG